GACGAACGCUGGCGGCGUGCUUAACACAUGCAAGUCGAACGGAAAGGCCCUGCUUUUGUUUGUUUCUCGAUUGGCGAACGGGUGAGUAACACGUGAGUAACCUGCCCUUGUCUGUGGGAUAACUUCACGAAACUGCGGCUCAUACCCGAUAUGAUCUCCUGCUGCAUGGUGGUGGUUGGAAAGUUUCGGCGGUUGGGGAUGGACUCGCGGCUUAUCAGCUUCUUUGUGUGGUAGUGGCUUACCAAGGCUUUGACGGGUAGCCGGCCUGAGAGGGUUACCGGCCACAUGGGGACUGAGAUACGGAGCAGACGCCUACGGGAGGCAGAAGGGGGGAAUAUGGCACAAUGGGCGGGAGCCUGAUGCAGAAACGCCGCGUGCGGGAUGACGGCCUUCGGGUUGUAAACAGAUUUCGCAGGAGACGAAGCGAGAGUGACGGUAAUGGGUAAAGAAGCACCGGCUAACUACGUG
This 468-nucleotide ribosomal RNA is filed under the name uncultured bacterium. Its description in RNAcentral is "partial 16S ribosomal RNA". It matches the Rfam family "Bacterial small subunit ribosomal RNA", at positions 28 to 507 of the family's 1533-position model. The record is from RNAcentral.